UACGGAGGGAGCUAGCGUUGUUCGGAAUUACUGGGCGUAAAGCGCACGUAGGCGGCUAUUCAAGUCAGAGGUGAAAGCCCAGGGCUCAACCUUGGAACUGCCUUUGAAACUAGAUAGCUAGAAUCCUGGAGAGGCGAGUGGAAUUCCGAGUGUAGAGGUGAAAUUCGUAGAUAUUCGGAAGAACACCAGUGGCGAAGGCGACUCGCUGGACAGGUAUUGACGCUGAGGUGCGAAAGCGUGGGGAGCAAAAGGG
RNAcentral lists this ribosomal RNA (253 nucleotides) under uncultured bacterium. Its description in RNAcentral is "partial 16S ribosomal RNA". It matches the Rfam family "Bacterial small subunit ribosomal RNA", at positions 524 to 776 of the family's 1533-position model. The record is from RNAcentral.